GGGGCCUUAGGUGUAGGCCUUGAGGUUCACAAUCAAAAUUAACUUUAAGUACCCAGGCGUGCCACUGCCAUCUUUAGCAUGACAGAUGUAAAACCGAUGUUAAGUUUAUUGUAUAUGUAUAUAUGCCCGAGCGACCCAGUUAAUUCUGAAAGGUGCCUUUGUGGGGCCUUAGGUGUAGGCCUUGAGGCUUCCCGUCAAAACUAAUCGAAUACUUGAACACAUCUUGGUUGUUUCAUUGUUUGUAGAAGUAUUACACCUGUUAUACUUUUAAUUGCCCAAGCCCGUCGAGCAGAAUGAAUUCAAAUAGGUGCCUUUGUCGGGCUUUAGGUAUAGGCCUUAAGGCUUCAUAUCAGAGUUAAUUCCAUACUCAAACGUUCUAUAGGAAUUAUGAUAUAACAUAAGUAAGACUAGAGAAUAAGACAAUUACUUGCGCCCUAAGUAACUUCGGGCUUCUUGUUAUCACGGAUUGUCGUGGAUGGGUUAAGUCCACAUAAGGUUCUUUUUAUGCCUUACCAAGGACUUUUAAUUGAUCAAUCUCGUCUGCCCGAAUGAUUAAAACUUAUAAGUCUUUUAAUCAUAAAUUAACUAGCAUUAACUUGGAUGCAAAUGAAAACAUACAUCAUAGUACUAGAUCUAUGAAUGAAAGACAACAACAAAGGAGGUUGGGCAAGGUUUCACCUUGUCGGGCAAGGCUGAUCGUCUUGCAACUUCCUCUCUUUGUGAUUUACAGAGUAUUCAAAUGCUAGAAAGGGGAGAUUGGAAGAUGAGUUUAUAUGAGGAAAUCGAUACUACAGCAAGAUUUAAACAGGGUAGCAAAGCUUUUACAAAGGAUUCCUAGUGAAGGUUGAUCCCGAACGGGAUGAAGAUUGGGGGCUGACUACAGCUUCGUGAAGGCAAAUCUGGUUUGAGCAGAGUUUGUGCUUGUAUUUGUUUGUUUGAUUGAGUGUCCUUGUCUCUAAUUUUUCUUCGUCCUUUUAUAGACGAUUUGGCUUGGCUGUCUGCAGUAGUGAUUUUGCCCGAAUGCAUCUGAAGGGCAAUGACUCAUCAACUUUUUACUUAUACUACCAUUGUAAAGUACUUUUGGGCUGAUUAGCUGGCUGGCCUACACCACUUGACCUUUAGGUAGGUGAGCAGGUGGUUUGAUGAUCUGCACUUGGUCAGGAAACAAACCCCUUCUUUCUUCUGGGCUUCGGCUGGGCCUUGGACUUCUUCUUUUGAACCUCCUUUUGGGCUUUCUUUUGGGCUAACCCAAAGUUCAAGUUUUAUCCCAAAUAGGAGGCCCUUAAGGAAAGGGGUUCCCAUUUGACGUAGCUGCUAAAUUCAUAAUUGAAAAUAAGUUAUGAAAUUCUAUUUAUGCUGAAUGUUUCCGUUUUGCAGGAUGAAGUUUUGGCUCUUCGACAAGUGCUAACAUGGGCGAUUAGACUCAAGUUGUCAAGACUAGAGAUUGAAGGAGACUGAAAUUUAGAUAUGAGUUUAAAAAAAGAGAUCAAUGUGUCAUGGAAUAUUUGACCAAUUGUCCAGGAUAUUGGGUAUUUAAUCGAUCAAAUUUCAUCCGACAUAUCUUUUGGGGAAAAAAAUUAUGGUGGCUGAUAUCUUAGCUUCCUUAGGACAAUUAUAUGAUCACUCAUUGUGCGUGGUUUAGUAGUUUUCUUUCUUUUAGAGUAAGCUAUAGAAUUUGUCCUUAAAUUUUACUAUGGUUUAGAAGUCCUUAAGUUUUAUUUAAUGCAGAAAAUUGGUAUGCUAUUAAAUUUUCUGUCAAAACUGUUGUAUGAAUUUAGUGAGGGAAGAAAAAGGGAGAUUGGCCAGAGAGAAGAGAAGGGAGAGAGGAACUUGAUGAAUUAUGUGUGUGUUAUUCCUCAUGCCUUGUGCCUUUAUUUAUAUUAAUAAGGGAGACAGAAAUUUGCUCUCCAAGUAAUACAAGUUGUACAAGGAAAGAUCUUUUAGAUCUCUAGGAUUCUUGUGCAUAAUCUAUUAACAUUUACACAAUCAAACUACUAAUGAAAUUAGAAAUGCAACACUCCCCCUUGAGUAGGUAAAUACUCAAGUAAAUGGCACAUCAAGUCUUCAUGUGAUAAUGUAGAAAUAGUUACUGAAGUAGUCUUAUCUAGUUGGCACAUUGAAGCAAAUGCGAGUUUAAAAAAUAAACGGAAGAAUGCGUAAGUAAUUAAACUCACAAAACUUGUCUAUGGUAGAACCCAAUGUACGAUAAAAGCCAUAGUCUAAUGAGAAAUGUGAGAAGUUGCAUUAAGUUAAAACUAAACGUCUUCAGGACGCAAGUAGAACACACACAAGCGUAUGACUAGCCUAUGAUAGGUGCCUCGUUAAAACCUUAUUAGGUAGCAAAAACCCAGUGGAAUAAAUGCUCCUAAUAUAAGAAAAAAGAGUACAUUAAGGUCAAGUAAGUAUACUUCUGGGACUUAACGUUUGAGAUAGUUUACGCAUACUAAUUCCUCAGACAAAUUUUUGGAAGUUUGACUUCAAUGGUGACUUCGUGAAGAGGUCAGUAAGGUUGUCUCGAGUUCAGAUCUGCUUGACUUCAAUCUUUUGAUACUUUGCUAAUGUGAUGAUGGUGCAAUAUGCUUGGUGUUGGCUUUGUUGAUGUAUCAUGUCUUGGUCUAGUUGAUACAUGCGAUAUUGUCUACAUAGAUUGUCCUUGAGACUUAAUGAUGCAUAAAAAACCGCAUGCACUUUGAAUAUGCUCAACAAGAGCUCUCAACCAUAUCUCUCACGUGUGGCAUUGUGAGGUAUGGUGAGCUUUGGAACGAUAAGAAGAUUUGGCAACUAAGGUCUAUUUCGUGGACCUUAGAUAUUGCGAUAUCCCUAAUAGUAAAGACAUAACCAUUUGGAAACUUGCCUUGUGCGUAUUUGAUAAAUAACCAAUGUUAGCAUAACAAACAAGGAAAGCAUCAUUGCGAGGAUCAAGGGGUUGGAUCCACUCGGGAUACAUAGGGAUAAGCCCAAAUCUAUAGUACCUUUAAGGUAGUGGAAAAACGACUUUAAUGCCAAUUCAGUGGAUGUGUGCAGGCCUAAUGUUGUAUCUUUACCAACAUAUCAAUAGUGAAGGAGAUGUCAUGUCUCAUGUAAUGAGAAAAGUACAACAAAUCACAAAGUUGAACUUAGAUAUGAAACUUCGAGUUCCACAACCUUUCCAAGGUAUUCACUAGCAUCUAGCGUAUGAACAAUCAUGGGCAUACUCAAAACAACACCUUCAAAGUGAAGUUCGACUAGUAGACCAUAUUAUUGUUAGAACAAUGCUUGAACUUCAAGUAAGACAUAAAUAAGUUUUUCCAAGAUCCUUCAUCUCAAAUGCCGUCUUCAGGUGCGAGGUAGUUUUCUCAAGCUCUUCCAGAGUCUUAGUGAGAUUUAU
RNAcentral lists this long non-coding RNA (3367 nucleotides) under Malus domestica (apple). RNAcentral's name for it is "long non-coding RNA (MDOM_LNC010371)". The record is from RNAcentral. Lineage: Eukaryota; Viridiplantae; Streptophyta; Magnoliopsida; Rosales; Rosaceae.